This 843-nucleotide ribosomal RNA is filed under the name uncultured bacterium. RNAcentral's name for it is "bacterial SSU rRNA". It matches the Rfam family "Bacterial small subunit ribosomal RNA", at positions 614 to 1455 of the family's 1533-position model. The record is from RNAcentral.
CCAANGUAUGCUUUGGAAACUGUUGGACUUGAGUGCAGAAGGGGAGAGUGGAAUUCCAUGUGUAGCGGUGAAAUGCGUAGAUAUAUGGAGGANCACCGGUGGCGAAAGCGGCUCUCUGGUCUGUCACUGACGCUGAGGCUCGAAAGCGUGGGUAGCGAACAGGAUUAGAUACCCUGGUAGUNCACGCUGUAAACGCUGAGUGCUAGGUGUUAGGUCCNUUCCGGGACUUAGUGCCGACGCUAACGCAUUAAGCACUCCGCCUGGGGAGUACGACCGCAAGGUUGAAACUCAAAGGAAUUGACGGGGGCCCGCACAAGCGGUGGAGCAUGUGGUUUAAUUCGAAGCAACGCGAAGAACCUUACCAGGUCUUGACAUCCCGAUGCCCGCUCUAGAGAUAGAGUUUUUCUUCGGAACAUCGGAGACAGGUGGUGCAUGGUUGUCGUCAGCUCGUGUCGUGAGAUGUUGGGUUAAGUCCCGCAACGAGCGCAACCCUUAUUGUUAGUUGCCAUCAUUAAGUUGGGCACUCUAGCGAGACUGCCGGUAAUAAACCGGAGGAAGGUGGGGAUGACGUCAAAUCAUCAUGCCCCUUAUGACCUGGGCUACACACGUGCUACAAUGGUUGGUACAACGAGUCGCAAGCCGGUGACGGCAAGCUAAUCUCUGAAAGCCAAUCUCAGUUCGGAUUGUAGGCUGCAACUCGCCUACAUGAAGUCGGAAUCGCUAGUAAUCGCGGAUCAGCACGCCGCGGUGAAUACGUUCCCGGGCCUUGUACACACCGCCCGUCACACCACGAGAGUUUGUAACACCCAAAGUCGGUGAGGUAACCAUUUAUGGGGCCAGCCG